This 2688-nucleotide long non-coding RNA is filed under the name Prunus dulcis (almond). RNAcentral describes it as "sRNA ncRNA". Lineage: Eukaryota; Viridiplantae; Streptophyta; Magnoliopsida; Rosales; Rosaceae. The record is from RNAcentral.
AUUUCAACUGGCUGGUUGGAGAGCUACAGGGGUAAAGAUGGGAGAGCUGGGUUGGUUCUUCGAUGUCUACAUCUGGAGGCUUUGAGUGUUUUACACAGCCAUCUGCUUAGACCAUCAGUUUGCGUUUUCAUUGCUCUGAUCUUCCAAGGUAUUUCCAAGCCAUCUGCUUAGACCAUCUGCUUAGAACAUCUGUUUCAGGUAUUUCCAUCGUUCUUAUUAUUAAUUUUUUUAAUCAAUUGUCGAUUCAAUGACUUUGCUCUCUUGGAGAAAUCUUAGAAAUGGAAAUCAUUCCCAAUUUCUGUUUUGGUUGCCGAUAAAACAUUGGGAAGUAAAGACCAAGCGUGCUUUAAAAUUAAAAAAAUUCAUUUUUUAAUCUGCUUUUAAUCUGCUUUUGGCUGUAGUGAAGUAUAUGAAAUUCAAUUUGGUUUAACGAUAUACCACUUUAAAUUUCUCUAUCUGAUUAAUAUCAUAGUUUGAGAUAUGCAAUAGAUUUCUUAGGUUCUGACUUCUGAUCUCUUUGCACGAUUUGAUUGUUAGUUAUAGUGUUAGAUAUGGAAUUGAUUUUUAGGUUCUGACUUCUGAUAGCAUUACAGUAUUACUAUAGGCAUCUAUAGUAUGGAAUUGAUAUCUUCUUGGUUGAAUUACUUGCUAUUUACUCAUGAGAUUUGAAGUGUUGUAUACUAAUGACUGAUUUGAUUGGAAGCUACAGAUUUUGAAAUGAGGUAUUUCUUCCUUAAAAAUGUUUAUCAAUUAUGUUGUUUGAUAAUUUAAAAAAAAUGAGUUUUCUAACCCUAAACCCUCUAAUAUCUGAGUAUAUUGUUGAAUCUUUUGGGUGUUUUGUUGAGAUUCAUUUUAGGGUAGAGCUUUUUGUAAUUUAACGAUAACUAUAGAAAUAUUACGGAGUACCAUUGUUUUAUUCUAUUUUGAGCUUAUAAGAGCUGCAUAUUUGACUUUUGGAAUGGGAAUUGAUUUGAAGAACAAAUUUUUUUCAGUUUCAAACCUUAUAAUCCUGUUUCUAUGUUUCCUGUUUGUAUUAUCUGUUACUGCUCCUUUAUCAUGUUUUAUGGAAUAUAUACAUCUACCUUGAUUUCCUCUUCCACCUUGAUGCAAAAUCGAGGUGACAGGGUGUUAAAAGGUUCUUAAGGGAAAGGCCAUCCAUGGUUGAAGAAGGGCAAUGGAUAUACCAUACACCCACCUAAAUGAGGUCAGUUUCUUGACUUACUGGUUACCAAUUGGUUUGGUAGAUUGGCAGGUGUUGUUUGUGUUUAUCAUUGUGGUUGUGUGUUUGUUUGACUUAUGUCUGAAAUAUAUAUAUAUAUAUAUAUAUAUAUUCAGCUAUUACUUUGUGGUUUUCAAAUGCCUCGAAGCCAUUCUUUUCAGCUUUAAAAUUUUUAUUUUCAGUUUAUUCUUUUGCUUAAUUUUUUGUCUUUGGUUUUUUUAACUGUUUGCUGAAAAACUAUGUAAGAGAGUUGAAUUUUGCACAGAUUUAAAUAUCUGGGGAAUCUUGCAUAAAUUCAUUUACUCAUGUUUAUUCUUUUGUCUUCCUCAUUUAAUAUUGUUAUGCAAGAGAGUGAAUUUAACAAGAUAUCAUUUCUAUGUCCUCCUGUUUGCGUUGCUAUUUAUUAUACAGGAUAUCAAUUUAUUUUCUUUCCUCAGUUUCUUCUCUGUCCUCUUCUUUGUUUUUUAUUUGCUUAAUCGUUUGCUUUAUCACAUAACCAUUAGGAAAAUGUCUUCAUUCUCAUCUUGACAAUAAUAACUAAUGUUAACACAAGUAUUAUCUAAACAAUUAAUAUAUCCUAAAAUUAUCAGUUGCAAAAUAAUGCAUACAUUGUAUGAAAUCUUUCUUCUGAACAAAAGCAAUGUAGAGAUUUUCUUAAUUUGAUUUUGCUUUUUCCAUUUGCCUUCAUUUGGAAUGGAUGAAGAUGUACAAGAUUGCAUCAUUGUUCAUAGUGAAUUGUAUUAUUUUAUUAUGCAGAAUAUUGUUUCAAAUGCAUGUUCACCCUUAAAUCCAUAUUAUCUUUGUGGUUUUCAUUAAAUUACUACAUUUCUUUGGGCACUUCUCUGUCUCUGUGAUUCUUAUUUUUCAUUGUCAAGUAAACAUUUUAUGUAUGAUUAUCUUGGUAGUGACCUAUUGUUUCUUCGUUUAGCAUUUUGAACUAUUUGAAAAUUUUAACUAUGUUUAUAUGAAGAUGCUGAUACUUCCUUUCAAUCAUGUGACAUAUGAAUAAUAGUCUUUAAUUUUCUGAGAUUGAUUCAAUGGCAGCAAAGGAAGAUUGAUGUAACAAUUAGCAGGGAGUUGCUAUAGGAUUCUAUGCAAUGAAGUGUUUCCACUACUUCAACAACAAAAUAAAUGAGGUGGGAACGAAGAUUGCUGCAUAAUUGAAAGAACAGAGGAAAUCUGAUUAUUCAGGAGCUGAAUAUGGUCAUUAAGUCUUCAUGCUCAACAAAAUCACCCCACUCUGUAAACCGGAAUUUGUAUGAAGCUAGGUUUCAAAUAUGUUAAUGAGAUAUGAGUACAUGCUGUUUUGUGUAGUAUCCUGGUAUUUGUAGGUAUUUUUAGUGGCGAUUUUAUAUGGUUAAUUUUACUUAAAAAUACAGGAAUGGGUCGACUGUGUAGCAAAUGGAGAUGCUAGCAUGUUGAAAAUAAAAAUAGAUGCGACAGAAAAAUAGAUGCAAAACCAAAUGUUG